GCGUAAGCGCGCGCAGGCGGUUUCUUAAGUCUGAUGUGAAAGCCCACGGCUCAACCGUGGAGGGUCAUUGGAAACUGGGGAACUUGAGUGCAGAAGAGAAAAGCGGAAUUCCACGUGUAGCGGUGAAAUGCGUAGAGAUGUGGAGGAACACCAGUGGCGAAGGCGGCUUUUUGGUCUGUAACUGACGCUGAGGCGCGAAAGCGUGGGGAGCAAACAGGAUUAGAUACCCUGGUAGUCCACGCCGUAAACGAUGAGUGCUAAGUGUUAGAGGGUUUCCGCCCUUUAGUGCUGCACCUAACGCAUUAAGCACUCCGCCUGGGGAGUACGGACGCAAGACUGA
RNAcentral lists this ribosomal RNA (340 nucleotides) under Priestia flexa. RNAcentral's name for it is "bacterial SSU rRNA". It matches the Rfam family "Bacterial small subunit ribosomal RNA", at positions 558 to 897 of the family's 1533-position model. Lineage: Bacteria; Bacillati; Bacillota; Bacilli; Caryophanales; Bacillaceae. The record is from RNAcentral.